YUACGUGCCAGCAGCCGCGGUAAUACGGAAGGUCCGGGCGUUAUCCGGAUUUAUUGGGUUUAAAGGGAGCGUAGGCCGGAGAUUAAGUGUGUUGUGAAAUGUAGACGCUCAACGUCUGACUUGCAGCGCAUACUGGUUUCCUUGAGUACGCACAACGUUGGCGGAAUUCGUCGUGUAGCGGUGAAAUGCUUAGAUAUGACGAAGAACUCCGAUUGCGAAGGCAGCUGACGGGAGCGCAACUGACGCUUAAGCUCGAAGGUGCGGGUAUCGAACAGGAUUAGAUACCCUGGUAGUCCGCACAGUAAACGAUGGAUACCCGCUGUUGGUACCUGGUAUCAGCGGCUAAGCGAAAGCAUUAAGCAUCCCACCUGGGGAGUACGCCGGCAACGGUGAAACUCAAAGGAAUUGACGGGGGCCCGCACAAGCGGAGGAACAUGUGGUUUAAUUCGAUGAUACGCGAGGAACCUUACCCGGGCUUGAA
RNAcentral lists this ribosomal RNA (481 nucleotides) under uncultured bacterium. RNAcentral's name for it is "bacterial SSU rRNA". It matches the Rfam family "Bacterial small subunit ribosomal RNA", at positions 501 to 985 of the family's 1533-position model. The record is from RNAcentral.